AUCAACUUUCGAUGGUAGGAUAGAGGCCUACCAUGGUGGUAACGGGUAACGGGGUGUUAGGGCACGACACCGGAGAGGGAGCCUGAGAAACGGCUACCACAUCCAAGGAUGGCAGCAGGCGCGCAAAUUACCCAAUCCCGACACGGGGAGGUAGUGACAAUAAAUAACAAUACGGGGUUCUUUCGGAUUUCGUAAUUGGAAUGAGUACAAUUUAAAUCUCUUAACGAGGAACAAUUGGAGGGCAAGUCUGGUGCCAGCAGCCGCGGUAAUUCCAGCUCCAAUAGCGUAUAUUAAAGUUGUUGCAGUUAAAAAGCUCGUAGUUGAAUUUCGGGGUCGGUAGGUUGGUCAUGCCAUCGGUAUGCACUGGUCUCACCGAUUCCUCCCUCUUGUAGAAGCGUAAUGCCAUUAAUUUGGUGUUGCGGGGAAACAGGACUGUUACUUUGAAAAAAUUAGAGUGUUUAAAGCAGGCUCACGCUUGAAUACAUUAGCAUGGAAUAAUGAAAUAGGACGUUUGAUUCUAUUUUGUUGGUUUCUAGGAUCGACGUAAUGAUUAAUAGGGAUAGUUGGGGGCAUUAGUAUUCAAUUGUCAGAGGUGAAAUUCUUGGAUUUAUUGAAGACUAACUACUGCGAAAGCAUUUGCCAAGGAUGUUUUCAUUAAUCAAGAACGAAAGUUAGGGGAUCGAAGACUAUCAGAUACCGUCGUAGUCUUAACCAUAAACUAUGCCGACUAGGGAUCGGAUGAUGUUAAUUUUUUAAUGACUCAUUCGGCGCCUUACGGGAAACCAAAGUGUUUGGGUUC
RNAcentral lists this ribosomal RNA (799 nucleotides) under uncultured Glomeromycotina. Its description in RNAcentral is "SSU rRNA". It matches the Rfam family "Eukaryotic small subunit ribosomal RNA", at positions 314 to 1114 of the family's 1831-position model. The record is from RNAcentral. Lineage: Eukaryota; Fungi; Glomeromycota.